Long non-coding RNA from Telopea speciosissima, 130 nucleotides. RefSeq lists it as uncharacterized. The transcript is spliced from 2 exons. NCBI's taxonomy places the organism in Eukaryota, Viridiplantae, Streptophyta, Magnoliopsida, Proteales, Proteaceae. The record is from RefSeq and is a predicted model, not a curated record.
GAACAAGUCUGUGGUAUUUGCGUUGAUGAAGCAGAAUAUCCAGUGGUUACCUCUUGCGGACAUGUCUUCUGUAAGGAUUGUUUCAUAGAUUACUCUGCAGCACUGGGAGAAGGCUCAUGCCCCAAGCAGA